UAUAGAUUUUCCUCACAUUUUGGACACGCAUAGUGGGUGCGUUCUACUUGAUGCUUCACAAAACAAGCUACUGUUGAACAGGAGCGAUUGCAGCACAAUGCACCCGUUUAUAUGUAAAUACACCCCCAUCAAUGCGCCAACAUCGAGUACGAGCAGUGCUAUAAUGGUUACUCCAGUUUCGACGACAGCCAAUCCACAUCCAGGUGAAGCUUGGUUUAAUCAAAUGCUAA
Dreissena polymorpha is the source of this 230-nucleotide long non-coding RNA. RefSeq lists it as uncharacterized. The transcript has 3 exons. The record is from RefSeq and is a predicted model, not a curated record. NCBI's taxonomy places the organism in Eukaryota, Metazoa, Mollusca, Bivalvia, Myida, Dreissenidae.